CUGCAUCAUGUGAUUACAGCUGGGCCUGUGCUGCUUCUACACCUCCCUCGCCCUGACACUUCCACCAGGUUGCUCCUCACCUCCGUCUCUGCUUUUAUCCUCUUACUGCUCCUUUCAGGACCAGCAGAAAUGUCAGCUUCCCAGGAAUCCUUCCCUGGAUCUCUGCAGCAAGAAAUAGCUUCUCUGAUCACUGUAGCACUUGGUUCUUUAAUAUCUUUAUCUUGCUCUACCUUGUUAUAUUUUUCUUGUGAACUUAAAAUUCCCUGUGAGGACGUAAACCUUUGAAGGUAUGUCUCAUAUCUCUGAACCUCUUUAAAAUGCCUAGCAUCCCUGUGUGGGUGCCAAUUGCUUGUGUAUUGAAUUAAAUUGUGAUUGUUAACUUAACAUCACAGGCAUGUAACUUAUUAAGAAUCUAAGAAAGCCACUAGGUUUCCAGUUAUAUGGAGAGAAACGGGUAACAAGAGAAUACAAGAAUAUUAAGCUUCAUCAGAUUCCAUGUUCUGAAGGUCAAGGUGGAAAGAAAACCCUAACACCUCUUCGUAUUUAGAAAACAACUAUGUUUUUUAGGCAUAAAACAAAUGCAAUUUCUGAAUUAUUUUGGAGUUAACUGGGUAUGAUCAUGAAGAAUAAUUUACAAAUUUUAUUUCAGUGGCAGUGAAAGAUCUUUCCGUCUGAGCUAAAAUAUCUUGCCUUUUUUAGAGGUUUAUCUUACUUUGAAUCAGAACCUACUCUUCCAGUCACUAAGAAAAGAGAACUGUGAGAAUCUCCUAAGUGUACUUACAUCCUGUGAUCACCUGUGCUGACCACCCCUUCUGUUGAUUAUCCAUCAUGUGGCCUAGGCCCUGAAGUCUCUUCUUUUCUCUUACAAGAAUGCAGACUCUGGAUCCCAAAGGCCCUGUCUGAAUUCUUGCUGUGACAUUUAUUAGCUCCGUCACCUCGAAUGAUUUGGCAGCAAAAAGCCCUAGAUUCCCACGUGGCACCCAGAGCUGGAGUUGCGCUCAGAGAACAUAAGCUCCCUGAAGACAGUACUUUGCUUUUCUCACCCUGUGGCCCCAGCACUUGGCACAGUCCAAGGCAAGGAGAAGGGUUAAAUGCAUGGUUGAAUGAACGAGGUAGGCUUUAAAUCUAAUGAGAAUUUCUAUAAGAGGAAGAGAGGACACAGAGACUCAGGGAGAAGGCGAGCUGAAGGCAGCUGCAGUGACUGGAGUGAUACAGCUACAAGCCAAAGGAUGCCGAUAAUUGCCCCUGGAAACUAAGAGAGACCCUCAGGUCCUCCAAAAGGAACCAACCCUGUCAACACCUCACUUUCAAACUUCCAGACUCCACAAUGAUGAGAAUAAAUUUCUGUUGUUGUAAA
This 1357-nucleotide long non-coding RNA is filed under the name Homo sapiens (human). RNAcentral's name for it is "HSALNT0353204". Lineage: Eukaryota; Metazoa; Chordata; Mammalia; Primates; Hominidae. The record is from RNAcentral.